Molecule: long non-coding RNA, 830 nt
Filed under: Phascolarctos cinereus (koala)
Lineage: Eukaryota; Metazoa; Chordata; Mammalia; Diprotodontia; Phascolarctidae
Description: lncRNA (ENSPCIG00000000711.2)
Source: RNAcentral
AACCACAAGAUUUCCUCUGUGAUACUUAGUAAUUUUGCCUUCAUCCAGUUAUGAAAGCACUAUAGCCCUUUCAAAUUGGUUAAGGGCUUGUUUACACCUCCUUUAUAUUUUUAAUUGAAAAAUGAUUCAAUCCAAGGGCCAUGGUCUUCUAUGAUUAGUUGGUGGUGAUGGUGGGCUGUGUGUGUAAUGUAACCUUUCCUUUGCCGAAGUAAAAUCAAACAAAUUAACCAAUGAAUAACAAUCAAAAACAUAUUUGUUCUGUGUCUUGCCUAACCCAUAGAAUUGAUCUAAAGUGUUUAUAUUACGAAUCAUGCCCACAUUGUGUCUUCUCUGUCUUAAUUUGUCUUAAUUAUUUUUCUUUUAGGCCUAGAGUGAUGAUGAUGGCUUGGGGAGAGAGAUUGACAAAGAAGUUCCUGGUGAUUCUGGUGCAUAGGUCUGGUUUUUAUGUUUAUGCCAAACUUCUUGAAGCUAGAAAUUGGACCUUGGCAAAGAAGCUGAAGCCGGAUGGCUACAUCAGUGCUGAUGUCAUCACUGCCCAGAGCUCUGGGUGAGGAGACCUGCAUUCUCUCUGCAACCGACUGCCUGGGAAAUGGAGCUGCCUCUUUGGCCCUCCCCUAGCCUGGCUGACACACGUAGAGAACAUUGCAUUUAUUCCGUGUCCGGGAUCAUGAUCAUUUCAUUUUGCUCAGGUCCCACUGCUCGGAUCAGAAGGUAAGCAGCCAGUGCAACUAACAUUACCUAGCUCCUGGCCCUUCAGAAGGAGGUUUCCACUGCAGGCUUCUCUGCUCUUCUUCUUGGCCAGCAACUGUCUGGUUAAUAGAAAAUGUCUG